Ictalurus punctatus (channel catfish) is the source of this 1367-nucleotide long non-coding RNA. The record is from Ensembl. NCBI's taxonomy places the organism in Eukaryota, Metazoa, Chordata, Actinopteri, Siluriformes, Ictaluridae.
UAUAUAUAUAUGUAUAUGUGUUGUGUGUGUGCUUGUGUAUAAGAAUGAAACAAAAUGUAUACUUUCUAUGCUAUUUUCAUAGGGACUCAUACACUAAUGGUGACCUACAUAGAAGUGCUUUUUACUACAGUAUAACUUAUUUGUGUUUAAAUUUAAUGAUCAAUUAUUGUUUUAAAAUAAUAAAUAUGUUAAAAAUAAAUCCUCUUUGUAAAGUCCUAAUUUUUAGUUACAAGCUUGGAAAGAAAAUACUGUAUUUUCCAAAAAAAAAAAAAAAAAAAAAAAUUCAAUCUGCACAAUAUACCACAAGAUGUCAGUCUUGUCAGAGAACGCUCCGGCCCUCGACUCGUACAGGGAUGGAGAAGUUUCAGGAUCUGUCUUCCUUUCAGCUCGUUUUGAUUUGAUCUCGCGCCAUGUUAGCAUAAACUUCAGUUCUGUUCGAUUAUACAGGAAGGCCAGGAAUAUUGAUUGGCAGACAGGCAAGCUUCAAGACACAAAUGUUUUAUGAUGUACAUUGCAAAAUCCAGAAAGUUGUGCAAAUAAUAUGUCCAUAUUCAUCAGAGCCUUAUCCUAUACUGAACAAACUACUCCUUUAACCAAAACUUGGCACAAAGAUCUCUCGCUCUGGAAUCAGGUCACAGCUUGUGGAUUUCUCCUGAUGGACUGCAACAGAGUUCCAGAAGUUCUAACUUUUUCAUAGGUGUUCAUUUUGUCUGAUUUGUUCUAACCACCUUCUGAACAGAGGCUAGAUUUACUCUUGAUUCUAGAGAAAGUUUUCUUUUUCUUUUUUGUUGUUGUUUUUUUCUUUUUAAUUUCUGAUUAUAACUUUCCAGCCCAGCAGCUUGAGCAUGUCUGUUGUUGGCAGUUUUUGCAGGUCAGAAAAAAACUAGAUAUUUCAUCCAUCCAUCCAUUCUCUUUAUCCUACACAGGGUCGUGGGAAGCCUGGAGCCUAUCCCAGGGGAUUCGGGGUACAAGACUGGGGGACACACUGGACGGGGUGCCAAUCCAUUUCAAGGCACAAUUGCACACACUCUUGCACACAUAUUCAGACACUACAGACACUUUGGACAUGAAAAUCAGACUAUAAUGCAUAUCUUUGGACUGAGGGAGGAAACCGGAGUACAACACGUGUCAUUGGACUGAGGGUGGAAACUGGAGUACCUGGAGGAAACCCCCAAAGCACGGGGAGAACAUGCAGACUCCACGCACACAGAGCGGAGGUUUUCCAGAGAGGCUGUGAUCUGAAGGAGCAAUGAGAGAUGUUGGGGAGAUGUGUAUGAUGUUGCUAUGGUGUAGAGCACAGAUCCAGGCUGGAGCAGAGACAGGAACUGUGCUGAAACACAUGCCAGAAUAAGCAAUCUGGAUUCAGG